This 32-nucleotide transfer RNA is filed under the name Coregonus albula (vendace). RNAcentral describes it as "partial tRNA-Gln". The record is from RNAcentral. RNAcentral also lists the same sequence under 4 other names. Lineage: Eukaryota; Metazoa; Chordata; Actinopteri; Salmoniformes; Salmonidae.
CUUGAGGAUGGGUUCGAGCCCCUUCUCUCUAG